CGGGUAUGCCUUAGUACGGCGAGUGAAGCGGCAAAAGCUCAAAUUUGAAAUCUGGUACCUUCGGUGCCCGAGUUGUAAUUUGGAGAGGGCAACUUUGGGGCCGUUCCUUGUCUAUGUUCCUUGGAACAGGACGUCAUAGAGGGUGAGAAUCCCGUGUGGCGAGGAGUGCGGUUCUUUGUAAAGUGCCUUCGAAGAGUCGAGUUGUUUGGGAAUGCAGCUCUAAGUGGGUGGUAAAUUCCAUCUAAAGCUAAAUAUUGGCGAGAGACCGAUAGCGAACAAGUACAGUGAUGGAAAGAUGAAAAGAACUUUGAAAAGAGAGUGAAAAAGUACGUGAAAUUGUUGAAAGGGAAGGGCAUUUGAUCAGACAUGGUGUUUUGUGCCCUCUGCUCCUUGUGGGUAGGGGAAUCUCGCAUUUCACUGGGCCAGCAUCAGUUUUGGUGGCAGGAUAAAUCCAUAGGAAUGUAGCUUGCCUCGGUAAGUAUUAUAGCCUGUGGGAAUACUGCCAGCUGGGACUGAGGACUGCGACGUAAGUCAAGGAUGCUGGCAUAAUGGUUAUAUGCCGCCCGUCUUAAAAACACGAAACACAAAAAAA
This is a ribosomal RNA of 592 nucleotides. It matches the Rfam family "Eukaryotic large subunit ribosomal RNA", at positions 70 to 664 of the family's 3401-position model.